UGUAAGGGUCUGAAGCUUAAUUUAAUUCAUUUAAUCUAGUGAAUUUUGAAAUAUGCGGGAAGCAUAAGCUUCCUGUGCAUUACUAUUUUAAUACAUUGCUAAGCAAAUUUUGUCUUUCAUAUUAUGGUAUUUGAUAAAUAGAAAGGGCGGUCACCUAGCUCUUCCUGCCUCCUACCCAGAUGGAUCAUUUGAAGACUGAACCCUUGAAAGAGAUGUCACUUCUUCUGCGGUUCUGAGUGACCCGGGUGUGGAUGCGAGGCAGCCAGGAUACAUUCCAGGAAAACUGACAAAUGAAGCUCAAUUUGACCUCUUCAUCAAAAGACGAAAGAAGGCUACCUUGAAAACUCUGUUCACGACCAGACACGGGUGUCGUGCAAUGUGGGUCCUCUGGCGGAGGGAGCUACUGACUGUUAGCGGUGCAGUGGUUUGUUUACAAACAAGAGGGCUCCACGUGAUCAAGUACUGCCGAAACCCACCGAGGUACAGUUCAACAUGCGUCUGCUAGCAGCCUUACCUUUGGUUCACAUUCAGGAACUCUACGCCUAUUCAGGCAUUUAUUUUAUGUGAAUUGAAUAAAUAUAUUUGUCUGGGAUUUCUUUUUAUAUUUUUAUAUGAAA
Lingula anatina is the source of this 617-nucleotide long non-coding RNA. RefSeq lists it as uncharacterized. The record is from RefSeq and is a predicted model, not a curated record. NCBI's taxonomy places the organism in Eukaryota, Metazoa, Brachiopoda, Lingulata, Lingulida, Lingulidae.